AGCGAACGCUGGCGGCAGGCUUAACACAUGCAAGUCGAGCGGGCGUAGCAAUACGUCAGCGGCAGACGGGUGAGUAACGCGUGGGAACGUACCUUUUGGUUCGGGAUAACCCAGGGAAACUUGGGCUAAUACCGGAUAAGCCCUUACGGGGAAAGAUUUAUCGCCGAAAGAUCGGCCCGCGUCUGAUUAGCUAGUUGGUGAGGUAACGGCUCACCAAGGCGACGAUCAGUAGCUGGUCUGAGAGGAUGAUCAGCCACAUUGGGACUGAGACACGGCCCAAACUCCUACGGGAGGCAGCAGUGGGGAAUAUUGGACAAUGGGCGGCAAGCCUGAUCCAGCCAUGCCGCGUGAGUGAUGAAGGCCCUAGGGUUAGUAAAGCUCUUUUGUGCGGGAAGAUAAUGACGGUACCGCAAGAAUAA
This 419-nucleotide ribosomal RNA is filed under the name uncultured bacterium. RNAcentral's name for it is "bacterial SSU rRNA". It matches the Rfam family "Bacterial small subunit ribosomal RNA", at positions 29 to 489 of the family's 1533-position model. The record is from RNAcentral.